AGAGUUUGAUCCUGGCUCAGGAUGAACGCUAGCGGCAGGCUUAACACAUGCAAGUCGAGGGGUAUAGUAGCAAUACUAGAGACCGGCGCACGGGUGCGUAACGCGUAUGCAAUCUACCUUUUACAGAGGGAUAGCCCAGAGAAAUUUGGAUUAAUACCUCAUAGUAUUAUUGAUUGGCAUCAAUUGAUAAUUAAAGUUACAACGGUAAAAGAUGAGCAUGCGUCCCAUUAGCUAGUUGGUAAGGUAACGGCUUACCAAGGCGACGAUGGGUAGGGGUCCUGAGAGGGAGAUCCCCCACACUGGUACUGAGACACGGACCAGACUCCUACGGGAGGCAGCAGUGAGGAAUAUUGGACAAUGGGCGCAAGCCUGAUCCAGCCAUGCCGCGUGCAGGAUGACGGUCCUAUGGAUUGUAAACUGCUUUUGUACAGGAAGAAACACUACUUCGUGAAGUAGCUUGACGGUACUGUAAGAAUAAGGAUCGGCUAACUCCGUGCCAGCAGCCGCGGUAAUACGGAGGAUCCAAGCGUUAUCCGGAAUCAUUGGGUUUAAAGGGUCCGUAGGCGGUUUAGUAAGUCAGUGGUGAAAGCCCAUCGCUCAACGGUGGAACGGCCAUUGAUACUGCUAAACUUGAAUUAUUAGGAAGUAACUAGAAUAUGUAGUGUAGCGGUGAAAUGCUUAGAGAUUACAUGGAAUACCAAUUGCGAAGGCAGGUUGCUACUAAUAUAUUGACGCUGAUGGACGAAAGCGUGGGUAGCGAACAGGAUUAGAUACCCUGAUAGUCCACGCCGUAAACGAUGGAUACUAGCUGUUGGGCGCAAUCUCAGUGGCUAAGCGAAAGUGAUAAGUAUCCCACCUGGGGAGUACGUUCGCAAGAAUGAAACUCAAAGGAAUUGACGG
Molecule: ribosomal RNA, 900 nt
Filed under: uncultured bacterium
Lineage: Bacteria
Description: bacterial SSU rRNA
Rfam family: Bacterial small subunit ribosomal RNA
Source: RNAcentral